GGAAGACGGUGUUCGCCCAUCUUCAUAGUUCGUGGGCUGCAGCCAACGGACUGCGCUGAGGGAGAGGAAGGGGGGGGUUUAAAAUUGAUGAAUGGAAUGGAGGGGAUUGAUUUUUAAGAAAGUUUUAUAAGAAAAAAUUGAAUUUGAAUUAAAAAUAAAAACGUUUUUAUUAAAUUCUGGGACGAGAAAACCCUCCAAGCUUAAAAUUAUUAAUUUUUGGUUGGGGUGAUUAAUGAAUAAACAUAUCUUGAUGUAAUAUAAUUAAAUUUUAUUGGAAGUUACUCUAAGGUUAACACCUUUAUUUAAUUUAACAGUUCUUAUUAAAAAUUGAAGUUUGCGACCUCAAUGUUGAAUUAAAUGUACGUUAUCGAAUGAAGGAGCUUAGUUGUGAAGCCUGU
This 398-nucleotide ribosomal RNA is filed under the name Chapulobunus psilocybe. RNAcentral describes it as "partial 16S ribosomal RNA". The record is from RNAcentral. Lineage: Eukaryota; Metazoa; Arthropoda; Arachnida; Opiliones; Stygnopsidae.